UAAUACGAAGGGGGCUAGCGUUGUUCGGAAUUACUGGGCGUAAAGGGCGCGUAGGCGGACGCGCAAGUCAGGGGUGAAAUCCCGGGGCUCAACCUCGGAAUUGCCUUUGAGACUGCGUAUCUUGAGGACGGGAGAGGGUCGUGGAAUUCCCAGUGUAGAGGUGAAAUUCGUAGAUAUUGGGAAGAACACCGGUGGCGAAGGCGGCGACCUGGACCGUAUCUGACGCUGAGGCGCGAAAGCGUGGGGAGCAAACAGGAUUAGAUACCCUGGUAGUCCACGCUGUAAACGAUGUCGGCUAGACGCUGGGCAGCAAGCUGUUCGGUGUCGGCGCUAACGCAUUAAGCCGACCGCCUGGGGAGUACGGCCGCAAGGUUA
Molecule: ribosomal RNA, 375 nt
Filed under: uncultured bacterium
Lineage: Bacteria
Description: bacterial SSU rRNA
Rfam family: Bacterial small subunit ribosomal RNA
Source: RNAcentral